ACGUAAUAAUACAUAAACAGUUUACAAAGCGGAAAUAGCAAUAAUAUUGAUCAAUUAACAUUUUCCUAUUUAUCGAAUUAUUGAAAAUGUUAUUUGUUCUGUUAUGUAUAGACGACAAUAAUUUGUUAUCAGUAAUUUAGCAUCGCCUCAAUGACGAACCACAAAACAUGGAAAAUGUGGUUUCUACUUAAAUUUGCUGAGAAGAAGAACGUUGCACCACAUAUUGUUUUGUCAACUCUGUAUUGGAGUCUAGCUUGCAACCAGCUACACACACAUAUGUAUACAAAGUGAUUCAAAAUUGAGGUCAUUCCACUGGAUGGGUUGUUUGGGGAUGUUUUAGUACAGAAAAAUAGUAAAAAAAUAAAUGGUUAUUAAGAACACAGAAA
Molecule: long non-coding RNA, 386 nt
Organism: Dendroctonus ponderosae (mountain pine beetle)
Lineage: Eukaryota; Metazoa; Arthropoda; Insecta; Coleoptera; Curculionidae
Exons: 2
Source: RefSeq, a predicted model, not a curated record